AUUGAACGCUGGCGGCAGGCCUAACACAUGCAAGCCGAGCGGUUGAGGUGCUCUUGCUCCUGGAUACCGCGGCGGACGGGCGUGUAAUGCGUACGAACUUGCCUUGUCGUGGGGGUUGACUUUCGAAAACGGGCGCAAAUACCGCUUAUGUCUUGAGGGGCAUCGUGGGGGAUCUACGGAUCUCACGCUAUCAGAUGAGCAUAGGUCGGAUUAGCUAGUUGGUGGGGUAACGGCUUACCAAGGCGAUGAUCCGUAACUGGUCUGAGAGGAUGAUCAGUCACACUGGACCUGAGAUGCGGUCCAGACUACUCCGGGAGGCAGGGGUGGGGAAUGUUGGACUAGGGGCGAAAUCCUAGUCCAGCCCUGCCGCCUGUGUGAAAAAAGUCCUCGGAUUGGAGAGCUCUUUAAGUUUGGAGGAAGGACAGUACGAUAAUACCUUGCUGUUUUGACGUUACCAACAGAAUAAGCACCGGCUAACUUCGUG
This 484-nucleotide ribosomal RNA is filed under the name uncultured bacterium. RNAcentral describes it as "partial 16S ribosomal RNA". It matches the Rfam family "Bacterial small subunit ribosomal RNA", at positions 30 to 507 of the family's 1533-position model. The record is from RNAcentral.